Molecule: ribosomal RNA, 468 nt
Filed under: uncultured bacterium
Lineage: Bacteria
Description: partial 16S ribosomal RNA
Rfam family: Bacterial small subunit ribosomal RNA
Source: RNAcentral
GACGAACGCUGGCGGCGUGCUUAACACAUGCAAGUCGAACGGAAAGGCCCUGCUUUUGUGGGGUGCUCGAGUGGCGAACGGGUGAGUAACACGUGAGUAACCUGCCCUUGACUUUGGGAUAACUUCAGGAAACUGGGGCUAAUACCGGAUAGGAGCUCCUGCUGCAUGGUGGGGGUUGGAAAGUUUCGGCGGUUGGGGAUGGACUCGCGGCUUAUCAGCUUGUUGGUGGGGUAGUGGCUUACCAAGGCUUUGAAGGGUAGCCGGCCUGAGAGGGUGACCGGCCACAUUGGGACUGAGAUACGGCCCAGACUCCUACGGGAGGCAGCAGUGGGGAAUAUUGCACAAUGGGCGGAAGCCUGAUGCAGCAACGCCGCGUGCGGGAUGACGGCCUUCGGGUUGUAAACCGCUUUCGCCUGUGAUGAAGCGUGAGUGACGGUAAUGGGUAAAGAAGCACCGGCUAACUACGUG